UGGCGGACGGGUGAGUAACGCGUGGGUAACCUGCCUCAUACAGGGGGAUAACAGUUAGAAAUGACUGCUAAUACCGCAUAAGACCACAGCACCGCAUGGUGCAGGGGUAAAAACUCCGGUGGUAUGGGAUGGACCCGCGUCUGAUUAGGUAGUUGGUGGGGUAACGGCUUACCAAGCCGACGAUCAGUAGCCGACCUGAGAGGGUGACCGGCCACAUUGGGACUGAGACACGGCCCAG
RNAcentral lists this ribosomal RNA (238 nucleotides) under uncultured bacterium. RNAcentral's name for it is "partial 16S ribosomal RNA". It matches the Rfam family "Bacterial small subunit ribosomal RNA", at positions 96 to 334 of the family's 1533-position model. The record is from RNAcentral.